Molecule: unclassified non-coding RNA, 243 nt
Filed under: fungal sp.
Lineage: Eukaryota; Fungi
Description: partial internal transcribed spacer region
Rfam family: Eukaryotic small subunit ribosomal RNA (bases 1-45)
Source: RNAcentral
AAGUCGUAACAAGGUUUUCGUAGGUGAACCUGCGGAAGGUCAUUAACACGUAUCCACGUUAAAUCCCCCGUGCACCUUCAUUCACAGGUACGUCGAUCCGCUUAACUGUGGCUCCGGCCUGUUCCACACUCAGGCAAUCACAGGUGACAGGGAGAAACUGUCAAUUUGUUCUCUUGGUGCUGGCUCUGUUGAGCAAAAAAAACAAACCCCGAACAACUGUUAACAAUGGAUAUCUUGGUUCUC